GUUCCUGUAGUUGAGUUACAACGGUGGUUUUUCAAGCCAUAAGGUCGGGUUAGAGUCCCGGGGGGAAUU
Molecule: transfer RNA, 69 nt
Filed under: Boops boops
Lineage: Eukaryota; Metazoa; Chordata; Actinopteri; Spariformes; Sparidae
Description: tRNA-Glu
Rfam family: tRNA
About the family: Transfer RNA (tRNA) molecules are approximately 80 nucleotides in length.
Source: RNAcentral